RNAcentral lists this ribosomal RNA (470 nucleotides) under uncultured bacterium. Its description in RNAcentral is "partial 16S ribosomal RNA". It matches the Rfam family "Bacterial small subunit ribosomal RNA", at positions 28 to 507 of the family's 1533-position model. The record is from RNAcentral.
GACGAACGCUGGCGGCGUGCUUAACACAUGCAAGUCGAACGCUGAAGCACCAGCUUGCUGGUGUGGAUGAGUGGCGAACGGGUGAGUAAUACGUGAGUAACCUGCCCUUGACUCUGGGAUAAGCCCGGGAAACUGGGUCUAAUACUGGAUGCUACAUGUCACCGCAUGGUGGUGUGUGGAAAGGGUUUACUGGUCUUGGAUGGGCUCACGGCCUAUCAGCUUGUUGGUGAGGUAAUGGCUCACCAAGGCGACGACGGGUAGCCGGCCUGAGAGGGUGACCGGCCACACUGGGACUGAGACACGGCCCAGACUCCUACGGGAGGCAGCAGUGGGGAAUAUUGAACAAUGGGCGAAAGCCUGAUGCAGCGACGCCGCGUGAGGGAUGACGGCCUUCGGGUUGUAAACCUCUUUCAGCAGGGAAGAAGCCACAAGUGACGGUACCUGCAGAAGAAGCGCCGGCUAACUACGUG